AUUGAACGCUGGCGGCAUGCUUUACACAUGCAAGUCGAACGGCAGCGCGGGCUUCGGCCUGGCGGCGAGUGGCGAACGGGUGAGUAAUACAUCGGAACGUGCCCAGUAGUGGGGGAUAGCUCGGCGAAAGCCGGAUUAAUACCGCAUACGACCUGAGGGUGAAAGCGGGGGAUCUUCGGACCUCGCGCUAUUUGAGCGGCCGGUGGCAGAUUAGCUAGUUGGUGGGGUAAAGGCCUACCAAGGCGACGAUCUGUAGCUGGUCUGAGAGGCCGACCAGCCACACUGGGACUGAGACACGGCCCAGACUCCUACGGGAGGCAGCAGUGGGGAAUUUUGGACAAUGGGCGAAAGCCUGAUCCAGCAAUGCCGCGUGUGUGAUGAAGGCCUUCGGGUUGUAAAGCACUUUUGGCGGGAACGAAAAGGACUGUGCCAAUACCACGGUUCGAUGACGGUACCCGCAGAAUAAGCACCGGCUAACUACGUG
RNAcentral lists this ribosomal RNA (484 nucleotides) under uncultured bacterium. RNAcentral's name for it is "partial 16S ribosomal RNA". It matches the Rfam family "Bacterial small subunit ribosomal RNA", at positions 29 to 507 of the family's 1533-position model. The record is from RNAcentral.